Bombus terrestris (buff-tailed bumblebee) is the source of this 2474-nucleotide long non-coding RNA. RefSeq lists it as uncharacterized. The transcript has 3 exons. The record is from RefSeq and is a predicted model, not a curated record. Lineage: Eukaryota; Metazoa; Arthropoda; Insecta; Hymenoptera; Apidae.
AUAUUGAAAUUAAUUUUAGUUGAUCGUAUAAUUUUCUACAAAAUGGACAUUUUUUAAGAAUGUUUUUAAUAAUCACAGUGUGAAAUUGUUAGGUUAGGUGUAGGUUGACACUUGAAAACUAAGAUGGCCGGUCUUUAUCGAUAUUCGACUAAGGGACUGAUUACGUAAAAAUCGAUCAUUUUCAUAACCUCGAAUCGAACAGACACAAAGUUAUUCCAAACGAGUAUUCGAAACUUAUUUUCCAUUGAGAGGCAAAUUCCAUAGAGUAAAAAAUGCAGACUUCGAAACAGCAAGUUUGGCGUAUCCUGCGAAAGUUCGGCACAGACCAAGUUCAGCAUAGUAAGGCGAAGAAGACGAAGCGAGGGAAGAGGACAAGAUGUUGUUGGUCGCAGAUAAAAGGGAACUGCAGCAAGGCGACUGCGGCUUAGCAUGACAAUGCAGGUGCCUCAUCCCACGUCAAAACGCAGCGUGGCGCCACGACGAGAUAGGUACCAGACCGAUCGACUGGUUUGUAAUUGUUUAAGAGGAUUAGCCAGAGUAAAGUUUACGCGUGUCCAAGCUGGAGAGGGAGGAGAAAGAAGCCCAGUCGCUGAUAUUUAUCCGAACAUUAGACUCGGCUAAACUCAAAUUUACCAGCCUGAUCCCGGAAAAUAACAUUAAAAGUGACUGGAAUCGUUUGAACGUCGAAUCACACGCCUCAUCAACCGACAGUCGCCUCUUUCAGACGAAUUCUUGUGGUUCGUCGCUUUGCAGAUAUCUGAAGAAUUUCUAUAUCGAUUCUAACUUCGGAAGAGGUAUUUAGGAAAGAAGAUUCAAGUUCAAGAAGCAGCUGUCGGUUUAAUUUCAGUAACAGCCGUUUAAAUUACGAAGGACAAAGUUGGACAGUCGAAUCUUGAUGCAAGACUAGCAAACUUGCAGUUUGCAGCAGAAGAGAUUUGCAGUUUUAUUAUGAGGAGCCAUUUUCUUAUGAAAAUUUCUCAAAAUCAAUAGGAUAAAGGUCAAAUCAAUUUUAUACUACAAUAUGCUUUAAUUUCUAAAAAAUGAAACUCUAACUUCAAGUUCGAGAAGCAACGUGUCUGUCUAAUUUCAGUAACAGCUGUUUAAAUUACGAAGGGCAAAGUUGGAGAGUCAAGUCUUGACGCAAGAUUAGCAGACACUACGAAGAAAUUUGCGGAGUUUUAUCAUGAGAAGCCAUUUUCUUAUGAAAAUAUUUUAAAAUCAAUAGGAUAGAGGUCAAAUCAAUUUUAUACUACAAUAUACUUUAAUUUCUAAAAAACGAAACUCUAACCUCGAAAUUCAACAGAACAAACUCUAUGUACCCUAAUAUUAAUAACUUACAAAAACGCGGCAUAAAAGAUAACGCAAACACAUAAACAUACGUAAACCUAAAGUGAAAGAUACCAAAAAGGACAGCGACAGCUAACAUACUGAACCCAAUUCGCAGGCAACAUUAUCAUCAAACCCGAAUUAACGAAUAUCGACGUACGAGGAGAGCGAGAGGACCGAUGCACGAGGGCGUUCAGGUGAAAAAGAUCGGCCGACAGUGAGAAUCAGAACUAUGAGACGUGAGGGAAGUUCGAUCAAGAUGAAGAUUUCCUGAUCUGAUGCACGGCACAGAACGGAUGUCGCGGGUGGCCGCAGGUGGCGCCCUCGAUAUAAGCUCUUCUGACUGAACCGCUGAUAUAGGACCGCUCUCCUAAAACUUUCACGGCGGAAUGUGUCAUCCUGUCACUGAACCCACAUGGGGUAAGAGACGUCCCAUGGGCCCGUCAACCGCGUCCCUCCAACUCCUAUACCUUUCUCCGUCUUUUUCUCUCGCUUCCUCCGAAUCUACUUCAUCCAAGUUAAACGUUGUUUCGUACACUGUUAUUACGUAACUUUGUGGGAACUUCAUUGCCAACGAUCACAUUUAUAUCUGCUAUUUGUAGCUAUUAAUCCACUGAAAUGCACAGUCGUCUAGCAGGCAUAUCGUCUAACAUCCAAGGGAUGUUAAGGAUAGAACCGAAUUUUAACACUCUGACUGCCACGUGGGUCAUAUAUGACCCGCCACGGUUUCUCCUGCGACGCCACUGUGGUCAUUGGUGACCGGAGUGCUUCAACUUCUUACAAUUGUAAAAAUUGUAUGAAAAUUGACAGUUAGGGCAUUUUAGGGUACGCUUGCCCUUCUUUCUUCUGCGUUUCGCGUCGCAAUCUUUGUCGAAUAAGUAUAUUUAACGGCUCUGGUGAAUGGCACUGUGUAAGGUGCGUUGCGAAUGCCAUUCUAAAAGCUGAUAUCUUGGUUUUUGUUGCUUGUUUAUAGAGUAUCAUCGCGUUUGAAAUUGAUGUAUUUAACAAUAACUCUAAAGCUAAUUUUAUAUACCAUUUGAGGGUUCUAUGUGUUGUAGAAUAUGCUAUUGUAGUAUCGGAAAAAGGAUAGGAUUAGGAUAAUUUAGAUUUGUAAAAUUCUCCUAAUACUAUCUAUUUAAGAUAAAUAA